Molecule: ribosomal RNA, 377 nt
Filed under: uncultured bacterium
Lineage: Bacteria
Description: bacterial SSU rRNA
Rfam family: Bacterial small subunit ribosomal RNA
Source: RNAcentral
UAAUACGUAGGAGGCUAGCGUUAUCCGGAUUUACUGGGCGUAAAGAGGGUGCAGGCGGUUCUUCAAGUCGGAUGUAAAAUCUCCCGGCUUAACUGGGAGGGAUCGUUCGAUACUGUUGGGCUAGAGGGCAGCAAAGGGAGGUGGAAUUCCCGGUGUAGUGGUGAAAUGCGUAGAUAUCGGGAGGAACACCAGUGGCGAAGGCGGCCUCCUGGGCUGUUGCUGACGCUGAGGCCCGAAAGCGUGGGGAGCGAACAGGAUUAGAUACCCUGGUAGUCCACGCCAUAAACUAUGGACACUAGGUAUAGGGAGUAUCGACCCUUUCUGUGCCGAAGCUAACGCUUUAAGUGUCCCGCCUGGGAACUACGGCCGCAAGGCUA